RNAcentral lists this ribosomal RNA (363 nucleotides) under uncultured Enterobacter sp. Its description in RNAcentral is "bacterial SSU rRNA". It matches the Rfam family "Bacterial small subunit ribosomal RNA", at positions 30 to 387 of the family's 1533-position model. Lineage: Bacteria; Pseudomonadati; Pseudomonadota; Gammaproteobacteria; Enterobacterales; Enterobacteriaceae. The record is from RNAcentral.
AUUGAACGCUGGCGGCAGGCCUAACACAUGCAAGUCGAACGGUAACAGGAAGCAGCUUGCUGCUUCGCUGACGAGUGGCGGACGGGUGAGUAAUGUCUGGGAAACUGCCUGAUGGAGGGGGAUAACUACUGGAAACGGUAGCUAAUACCGCAUAACGUCGCAAGACCAAAGAGGGGGACCUUCGGGCCUCUUGCCAUCGGAUGUGCCCAGAUGGGAUUAGCUAGUAGGUGGGGUAACGGCUCACCUAGGCGACGAUCCCUAGCUGGUCUGAGAGGAUGACCAGCCACACUGGAACUGAGACACGGUCCAGACUCCUACGGGAGGCAGCAGUGGGGAAUAUUGCACAAUGGGCGCAAGCCUGAU